RNAcentral lists this ribosomal RNA (497 nucleotides) under uncultured bacterium. RNAcentral's name for it is "partial 16S ribosomal RNA". It matches the Rfam family "Bacterial small subunit ribosomal RNA", at positions 28 to 507 of the family's 1533-position model. The record is from RNAcentral.
GAUGAACGCUGGCGGCGUGCCUAAUACAUGCAAGUCGAGCGAACGGACGAGAAGCUUGCUUCUCUGAUGUUAGCGGCGGACGGGUGAGUAACACGUGGAUAACCUACCUAUAAGACUGGGAUAACUUCGGGAAACCGGAGCUAAUACCGGAUAAUAUUUUGAACCGCAUGGUUCAAAAGUGAAAGACGGUCUUGCUGUCACUUAUAGAUGGAUCCGCGCUGCAUUAGCUAGUUGGUAAGGUAACGGCUUACCAAGGCAACGAUGCAUAGCCGACCUGAGAGGGUGAUCGGCCACACUGGAACUGAGACACGGUCCAGACUCCUGCGGGAGGCAGCAGUAGGGAAUCUUCCGCAAUGGGCGAAAGCCUGACGGAGCAACGCCGCGUGAGUGAUGAAGGUCUUCGGAUCGUAAAACUCUGUUAUUAGGGAAGAACAUAUGUGUAAGUAACUGUGCACAUCUUGGCGGUACCUAAUCAGAAAGCCACGGCUAACUACGUG